This is a long non-coding RNA of Oxyura jamaicensis (ruddy duck), 1652 nucleotides long. RefSeq lists it as uncharacterized. The record is from RefSeq and is a predicted model, not a curated record. NCBI's taxonomy places the organism in Eukaryota, Metazoa, Chordata, Aves, Anseriformes, Anatidae. The transcript has 3 exons.
GGUGGAGAGUGAAAAGGGUGAUUGUGGCACUAAGGGAUAGGUAGGGCUCAGAUGGGACUCAGUAGGUCAUCUUGAUGGCUGGACUUGGUGAACUUGAAGGCCCUUCCCAACCUGGAUGAUUCUGUGACUCUAAGAGGUAUCAGGGCAGAGAACAAUGGUUGUGAAGAUGUCUCUGCCUUCCCUGGAGGAAAAGAGCUGUUCUUUUAGGAAAUAUUAGAGGCAGAUUUGCCCAGGGGAUUUGGGGUUUAAUCAGAGCUCCUGGACCUCCAAGAGUUGACUGCCAGCUGUGGAGGCCACCAGGGUCACCUGGAGAAGAAGAGCUGAAGAGACCAAGCUGUCCCUGGGCAGAAAGUCCCAUAGGCCAGCAUGCGGUAGGCUAAGCUGUCUGCUGGAGGGGCCCAGGCGAACCCUGAGGGAGGAAGUUUUCCAGUAUAUCGGCAGGAAGAAAGGGCAAUUCUCUGUGAACAUCGUCGUGGUGCAAAAACAAAGUCCUUCCUCAUCAGGGAAGAAUUUGACAGGCCUCACUGGUAGCCAGUGCCGUGGCACGCAAAAUUUGGCCUGUACCAAUUCCAGAGGUCUAUUCACCUCCUGCAAUGGGCUUCAGACUCUCAUCUUGGGGUGCACACAGAAGAAACCAACUCUGGCAGGCAGAGCCAUCUCAGCAUGAAGUGUUUGCACCUUCACAACCUGUCACCAUCACCUACUUCUGCUUUCUGUAGCUUCAGAAGAAUCAAGUUCACCCAGACCCAUGGAGGACCAUCUUCAUGUCCCAUAGCACAGCACAUCUGAAUCUUUCUUGAAACUAUGUAGUGCCCUAGGCUCAUGGGAAAACUGACUGUUGGCUAUUGUAACCUUUCUGCACCAGCUCCAUUUGCCUCUCAAAUUAUUUCUGCAUAUGAAUUAUCCUUCUGCAAUCCGGGCUAACUGUUUGCUUAAGAUAAUUUGUUGUUACUCUGAACUCACACAGUAAUUAUAUGGAUUUUGAGACGGACUCACAGAGAGUAGUGGUCACAUAUCGUCCAAAACUUAGGAUCCAAACCGAGUUUUGUUUCAGCUAUCAUCAGCUGCAGAGGUCACAGUUAAGUAAAAUCGGCUUUAACUGGGACUGGAAAACUGUCUGCUACAUUAGCAGAGAGAUCAGAUGACAGAUUUGGUCUGGCCUCAUUAUCUAGCCAUAAAAAUGUAAGGGCCUGAAGUAUUUGGGGAAUGGGAAUGCAGAGAGCAGGAGGGAUUUCUGGAGGAUCUCUAUGCAGUACUUGCUGUCUGAGCAAAGGAGCCCGAAGGACCCUUCCCCCCCAGCCUGUCUGAUGUGAGCUCUUAUCUCCAACGACAAACUGAAACCAGGAGAAUCAGUCUCUUCCUUUUGCAAACAGUUGGGGGAACAGGGGCUCCUGUGUGUCUACAACAUCUCACAUUUAUUUUUAGCUUCUUCUAUUUGGUUAGUGAGGUCACUGGAGCCCAGGCUUAAACAUGUUUUAAGCAAAUGUUACCCUGACCUUCCAGAGCUCUGAGUUUCCUGUAGCUAUACAUACCCGAAAGGAACAGAGCUAAUGGUGCAAGGGAAUGUUAUAUUAGCAUUUUAGGCGACAGUUCAAAUAGCUAUGUAUCCUCAUUUAUUGCAACACUUUUUGGGGAUAUGAAAAGUGUAAAAU